Oryctolagus cuniculus (rabbit) is the source of this 2019-nucleotide non-coding RNA. Lineage: Eukaryota; Metazoa; Chordata; Mammalia; Lagomorpha; Leporidae. The record is from RefSeq and is a predicted model, not a curated record.
UCCAGCUUCCUAUAAACGCAUACUGGGAGGAUGGCUCCAGAAUUAAAAUUUGAACCAGUUAGUUGGUUCUGAUGAAGGUGUCUCCCAGAUCACAUGCCAUCAGCUGGGAGCUGAAUCGGAAAUGGAGCAGCCAGGAUGCAGGCUGGUACCCACAGAGGAUGCAGGCAUCUCAGGUGGAGGCAUAAUGCCAGCCUCUGAAUCUAUUUUUCUACAGGUCUUUAUUGGAGGCAUAAUUUCUUUCCACAGCACAAGCAAAACUGAAUUAUUCAUUGUAAGAGACCAGUCAUCUCUGGAUUUCCAUGUUUUAUAGUCUCUUAAAAGUAGAGAACAAAGAUGAAGAAAAUAAACGAGAAAAUGAAUGGAAAAUGGAACUGGACGCUAAGUGAGAGAACAAAAACCAGAGAACAAGGUGGAAGCCAUUAUAGCAACAACAACAACAAACCGCCAGACCAAACAAACAAACAGCAACAAAACUAGUAGCUACCCCGAGUGUGACCUGGAGCUCCCUGGCCCAGCCUGACAGAAAUGACCUGCAAUCCUGCAAGCUGGUGGGAGCCCCUCUUCCUUUGACAACUUGGACCAUCCUGAGCCCCCUGCCCAGGGUCACAGUCAUUUCUGCAGCUGAAGAGCCUGAGUUCCUAAAUAGAAACACCCUGCAAGGAUGACCAAGUGUUUGAGGAAUUUUACAACAGAGAAGUCAGAAGUCUGACAGAAAAGACAUUGCAUGCAGAAAUAAAGACAAGACUCUAUUGUUAAAAAAAUUAUUUUUUAUUUAUUUGAAAGGCAAAAUGACACAAUGACAAGGAGAGAAAGAGAGAAAGAGAUCUUCCAUCUGCUUAUUCGCUACUCAAAUGGCUAUCAUAGCCAGGUCUGGACCAGGCUGAAGCAGGGAAUCAGGAACUUUUUCAAGCACUUGGACCAUCAUCUGCUGCUUCCUAGGUGGACUAGCAGGAAGCUGGAUCAGAAAUGGAGUAGCCAGCCGGCGCCGCGGCUCACUAGGCUAAUCCUCCGCCUUGCGGCGCCGGCACACCGGGUUCUAGUCCUGGUCCGGGUGCCGGAUUCUGUCCCGGUUUUCCCUCUUCCAGUCCAGCUCUUUGCUGUGGCCAGGGAGUGCAGUGGAGGAUGGCCCAAGUACUGGGCCCUGCGCCCCAUGGGAGACCAGGAGAAGUACUGGCUCCUGCCAUCGGAUCAGUGCGGUGCAGCGGCCGCAGCGCGCCGGCCAUGGCGGCCAUUGGAGGGUGAACCAAUGGCAAAAGGAAGACCUUUUUCUCUGUCUCUCUCUCACUGUCUACUCUGCCUGUAAAAAAAAAAAAAAGAAAGAAAGAAAGAAAGAAAAGAAAAAGAAAUGGAGUAGCCAGGAACUGAACCAGCACUCCAAUUAGGGAAGCCAGCAUUGCAAAUAGGGACUUAGCCCACUGCCCUACAAAGCUGACCCAAAUAUUCUAUUUUUAAAAACAAAUAUACAAAUAACAAAUUUUAUAAAAUUAAAAUCUGAAAGCAGAAUGAACAUCUUAAGAGUACUCUACAUUUCAGGCAUGGAAAGCCAAGACACUGUGGCAAAAUAUGACCUACAUGAAAGAUCUCUGUGAGUGAGAUCCCAGUGGAAAGAACGGGUCAUCAAAGAAGGAGGUACCUUUCUCUGAAGGGAAGAGAGAACUUCCACUUUACUUAUGGCCUUAUCUAAAUAAUGUCCGAGUUUGUGAACUCAAGAGGCUUCCAUAGCCUUGACAGUUCAUGACAAGAGCCUCCGGUGAUUACUGACAUCCUAAAUAAGAGUGCCAAUUGUUAAAUCAACAACAGAAGUCACUGUGCACUUGCUCCCCAUGUAGGACCUCUUCCUUAAUGUGUUGUACUAUGAGAAUUAAUGGUAAAACUAGUCUUCAAAGAAUACUUUAUACUUUGCAUAUCUGUGUGGGUGCAAACUGUUGAAAUCUUUACUUAGUAUAGAGUUGAUCUUCUGUAUAUAAAGAUAAUUAAAAAUGAAUCUUAAUGAAGAAUGGGAUGGGAGAGGGAGUAGGA